This 271-nucleotide ribosomal RNA is filed under the name uncultured Brevibacterium sp. Its description in RNAcentral is "partial 16S ribosomal RNA". It matches the Rfam family "Bacterial small subunit ribosomal RNA", at positions 83 to 355 of the family's 1533-position model. The record is from RNAcentral. Lineage: Bacteria; Bacillati; Actinomycetota; Actinomycetes; Micrococcales; Brevibacteriaceae.
UCGGGUGGAUGAGUGGCGAACGGGUGAGUAACACGUGAGUAACCUGCCCCUGACUUCGGGAUAAGCCCGGGAAACUGGGUCUAAUACCGGAUACGACCGCCGGACGCAUGUCUGGUGGUGGAAAGUUUUUCGGUUGGGGAUGGGCUCGCGGCCUAUCAGUUUGUUGGUGAGGUAAUGGCUCACCAAGACGACGACGGGUAGCCGGCCUGAGAGGGCGACCGGCCACACUGGGACUGAGACACGGCCCAGACUCCUACGGGAGGCAGCAGCC